RNAcentral lists this unclassified non-coding RNA (365 nucleotides) under Hevea brasiliensis (rubber tree). Lineage: Eukaryota; Viridiplantae; Streptophyta; Magnoliopsida; Malpighiales; Euphorbiaceae. The record is from RNAcentral.
AUGGUCAGUUGGCAUUUGACAUGGAUUUAGGCUAAAAAAAUGUAAGCCAAAUUAGAUUCUACUUAAAAAUCCUAUGAAUCAGUGAUACAGAAAAUCGCUUAUUAGCGAACUUUUUGCAAUAAAGUGAACCUGGGACCAUUGUGGAUUGUAGACCCGGUGGAUGGAGAGUGAGGAUUCUUGGGUUCAAUCUGAGCUUAGUAAGGGGGAAGGCUUUUCCCUUUGGUAUCAGCGAUACUAUGACUUUGCCAAAGAUUUUUAAUCCAGGUUUUCAAAGAUUUCAAUGCAUCUUUUCAAAUAUGACUUUGCCUCCUCAUUUUUUUCCACCUCACAUAGAUGAAGCAGCUCUUCUUUAAACCCCACAUUUG